Homo sapiens (human) is the source of this 353-nucleotide non-coding RNA. NCBI's taxonomy places the organism in Eukaryota, Metazoa, Chordata, Mammalia, Primates, Hominidae. The record is from the annotation of a RefSeq genome assembly.
AUGGAGUUGGGGCUGAGCUGGGUUUUCCUUGUUGCUAUUUUAGAAGGUGUCCAGUGUGAGGUGCAGCUGGUGGAGUCUGGGGGAGGCUUGGUCCAGCCUGGGGGGUCCCUGAGACUCUCCUGUGCAGCCUCUGGAUUCACCUUUAGUAGCUAUUGGAUGAGCUGGGUCCGCCAGGCUCCAGGGAAGGGGCUGGAGUGGGUGGCCAACAUAAAGCAAGAUGGAAGUGAGAAAUACUAUGUGGACUCUGUGAAGGGCCGAUUCACCAUCUCCAGAGACAACGCCAAGAACUCACUGUAUCUGCAAAUGAACAGCCUGAGAGCCGAGGACACGGCCGUGUAUUACUGUGCGAGAGA